Long non-coding RNA from Notechis scutatus (mainland tiger snake), 1656 nucleotides. NCBI's taxonomy places the organism in Eukaryota, Metazoa, Chordata, Lepidosauria, Squamata, Elapidae. The record is from Ensembl.
CGCGAAGCGUCCCCUCGUUCGCCAGCCAUCCCGCCGCGCACGCGCCAUUUCCGCCGCUAGGCGACGGGAGUCCUCGCGAGACGCGCGCCUACGACGCCAUCCUGUCUGCCUCAGCUGCGUAGCUUGUUAGUCGGCCGUCGGUUAAGCGCUUCCUUGUUCUUUGUGGGGAGUUCCGCGCAGCCGUUUGGGGCCGAUCGCCUGGGGAAGUGGGUGAGGUGUUGCCGGGGCGAGGGCGACUCUCGGUAGGGCAAGCCCCGAGCGGAGGGAAGACGGAAGACGGCGAAGCGAGUCCCCAGAGCGUGACAAAAGAAGCGUGUGCGCCUCCGCCAUUGAUACCCCCUCCUACGCCGAGGACCACCUCUCCGGCGCUACUCCUUCCCGGAGGGCUCGUGCGCCUGCGCGCUGAGGGUUCGGCGUUAGCGGAAGGUUCAAGACCCCGUUGGAAGAGUUGGUUUCUCUUGACAACCCUGAAGCAUCGCAGCUCCUCGGAAGUAAGGUGGCUUGGAGUCCGUUGGGACGGACGAGAUGGAAACGUGCCGUUGAGGUGGCAGGGCUUGGUCAGAAAAUACCGUAGCGCCGAAUCUAAAACGGGAAAAGGGACCGUUGAGGCCUCAGUUAGGACUAACGGCGGUGAUUCGGGCCUUCCAAGCAAUUGAGAUUUAAGGUUCAAGAGCGCAAGGUCAUGGUGACCAGCGGCCCGGGGGGGGGGGGGGCUUGCCUGCUUUGUGUCUUGUUAAUCGGAUACAAGGCCCUGCUAUUGCUUUGUGAAUGGCCAUUCAACGAGGGCGUUUGGCUCUGCUCAAUCCACUUUUGAGACCAGGAAAAGAAGGAAAAGAGUAGUAACUCCCACCAAGGGCAUAGAUAGCUGCUGGGGUUGAAUGUUGAAUGGAUUUCAGAAAUGGCAGGAGUAAAGUUAUACUUAGCUGCUGGGUUCGUUCCAGUAAAUCAGGAAAAGGAACUUGAAUUUGUCUCUCUCCCUUUAAUCACAUUGGUGAUGUAAGUGAAGAGACACUUCCUUGAUUUAGGGCAGAGGUCUCCAAACUUGGCAACUUUAAGACUUGUGGACUUCAACUCUCAGAAUUCUCCAGCCAGCAUAGAAUUCUGAGAGUUGAAGUCCACAAGUCGUAAAGUUGCCAAGUUUGGGGACCCGAUUCACAAGUCGUAAAGUUGCCAAGUUUGGGGACCCCUGAUUCAAAAGUCAUANNNNNNNNNNGUAAAGUUGCCAAGUUUGGGGACCCUGAUUCAAAAGUCUUAAAGUUGCCAAGUUUGGGGAGCCCUGAUCACUUAAAAGUGUGGUUGUUUUUAGCAGUCUCUCUGUGUGCAGUACAUGUAAGCUGGAAGCCAGUUCAAGCAGAAAUAUUUGUAUAUUCUACUGAACACAAGAAGGUGAUGCUUAAGCAGGGCUAGGGUGUCCGUAGCCUUGUAUUAUUAACCUGUAGGAAUAUUUACCAAAAGUAUAUGGUGCCUGGCUCUAGGCAGUUUACCCUAUUUCAGAGUUAUUUAUUCAUCAAAUUUAUAUAGCCAUGCAGUAUACAAUAAUUAAAUCAAGAGCAGCAAAUAUAUAACAAACAUUUAAAACGUCAAUGUUAAAAGUUAAGUAAAGUUAUAAUUAUACAAGCCCGAAGCGGAAAGAGAAUGGGUAGAGAUCCACCUCAA